This 1363-nucleotide long non-coding RNA is filed under the name Pongo abelii (Sumatran orangutan). RNAcentral describes it as "bidirectional promoter lncRNA". Lineage: Eukaryota; Metazoa; Chordata; Mammalia; Primates; Hominidae. The record is from RNAcentral.
CCAUGUCCGAAACACUAGGGGCCGCGGGGCGACGGAGGCGACUCUGCGGCUACUCGGCGAUUCGGGGCAUGGUCCCCGAGAGGGAGGACGAUCAGCUGAGGCGUCCACCUGUGGUGUCCUCCCAAAAAAGCGCUUGCACACUCCCUGAUAAAGGCGCCGCGCGCGCCCUUCCGGAGCCCCAACGACGCCACAGGCUGGUCGCGAGGGAAUACGCCCCUCUUGGCUGUCAGCAAUAGGAUUUUACAGCCAAACUGCUGCCUUUGCUUGCGGCAUUCUGUCUUGUUUACCGAAGCAGCUCUGAGCCUUUUUAGGGUCCUGAAGCGCUUUGAGUAACGGAUGAAAGCUAUGGAACUCCCAAAUACGCGCAAAUACCUAACCAUAAAAAUGUGGAUAAAACCUCGUAUGCAUCAACUACCUCUCUUUCAAGAUGGAAUUUUCAGAACACAUGGUCUGGGAUUGGAGCUGGAGCUUGGAAAUAUUGAGUGGGUGAGAAAGACUUCAUUGUUUUGUGACAGAUUGUUGGGAAAACAGCCCACUUCUGCCUGAAGAUCCAAGCCCAAGGCCUUCCUGGCCCCAGGGAUUUUGGGAUUCUUAAGAGCAAAAGAAGGAAAGAAAACAUGAGAGACUUUGGUACUGGGUACCAGCAUGAAAAGAGAAGGACUGGUAAAAAACAUCUCUUGGGAGCUUCUGCUGUGAUGCGAGAGGUAAGUCCUGCCAUCCCAGGGCACACUUCAUAAAAGAGGGCAGAUCCAAAGAUUGCAGAAGCCAGAAGAGACACUGCAUCCUUCCUGGUUAGGCCUGGUUAUGCCAGCUUCCUGGACUCUGCUGGCUGGUUGCCUCAAUCCAUGCCUCAGAUUGGGUGGAGUCUACAGAUUGAGGGCAAAUCCCACCUCCUCCCAACCCCCACCACUAGGCCUAUCUGCAAGACAGAAAAGAGCAGCAAGAAAUCUCAGGGAUUUUCUUUGAUUACUCAGAGGGAAAUAGUUUCCAUACUCAGAGACUGAUAGGCUGUCAAUAACAUUUGCUUUGUGAAUUUUCACCCAGCUACUUCUGGAUGAGAUAAUCACCUUUGCAGCUAAAGAAAAUCUUAGCUCAUUUUCUUCUUGGGGUGAUGGUAUAAGAGUUGAUAAACAAUUUAUAAGUAUUUAUCAUAUGGCAUAUUUAACAAAAUAUCUUUGUGAUCCAUAAAGCAAGGCAUAAAUUACAUUUGAAAGUGCAUUCCAUUAAACAAGAACAUUAGAGGGAAAGAGAGAGAGACACUUUGGACCUUGAUCUGUUCCAAUGACAUAGAAACUUGCUUUACAGAUUGGCUUUCUCCUAGUGCACUAUUGCAAAAUUAGAGCUAUACUAGAAACACCCUUAG